GGGGGAAACCGUUUCUUCAGUGCUGCUCCAGACCUCUGCGUUUUGCCGGGCCAUUUGCCAGCCGUUUUUGAAAGUAAUGGCCCUCUGUGAGUCAUGGGGGACGUCCAGAUGCUGUCUAAGAGUUUCAACAACAUGAAUAUGUCAGAGGAGGUAUGCCAAAAUGGAAGAGAUGACUGGAAAAAGGGAGGAAAUCCGUGUCAGGAAAGAGAUCUGCCUGCUGUCAGUGAGGAAACGGGAGUUAAAGCCCUGUGUUCCAGUUUCUUUCUCUGGGUGCUGGCUGAUGGUGACCCGAGGAUCGG
Non-coding RNA from Vicugna pacos (alpaca), 299 nucleotides. Lineage: Eukaryota; Metazoa; Chordata; Mammalia; Artiodactyla; Camelidae. The record is from RefSeq and is a predicted model, not a curated record.